This 659-nucleotide long non-coding RNA is filed under the name Daucus carota (carrot). RNAcentral's name for it is "long non-coding RNA (DCAR_LNC000749)". The record is from RNAcentral. Lineage: Eukaryota; Viridiplantae; Streptophyta; Magnoliopsida; Apiales; Apiaceae.
UAGGUAUUUCAGUACGAACAGAUUGUCUCGGAUAACAAGAAAUAGGGGGGAAAAACCAUUGGAGAUGAUAAUGAAGCAUUCAAAAAAGCUUUCAGGCUACAGUAUCGUAGGCAAUAUAGACAAAAACAACUGUUUAUUCCAUAGCAUCAUUCUUCUAGGACUGAUCUCGACAUCUACACCAGCACCUCUUCAUAUUCAUCGAGCCUUCCUCAACUACAAAGUCAUCCUAAAUAACGUUCAUGGUGUUAACAUCGCAUAGUAGUCUGAGAUGGAAGAGGUACAACGAAAAGAGUCCGGUUGAUAGUCUGAGACAGAAGACAGAACAUUCAGCGUGUUAACUUCGCAUAGUGAGCUAAAAAGUCAUACCAUCGUGCUACAACAAAGAGUCCUGUUGAUCCAAAAAAAAAAGAUUCGAUGUUUAUUUGGCAUAAGAGGUUAGGAAACAUCUGUCAAAAAAAAAAAAAAAAAAAGAGGUUAGAAAACAGGACCAAGCUUGUAUAAAUAAUCAGAUUUAGUUGUAGUUGUCCAGCCUUUGUUGAUAUCUUAACAUUGUAGUUGUAAAAUGACUUGACCUACAUUUUCAUGAUACAUGCGAGGAAGAAGCUCAACUUCUCCUCAGUGCCCUUUAUGGUAUUUAUUCUGGAGUCAAAUGCAUUCCC